CCUACGGGUGGCAGCAGUGAGGAAUAUUGGUCAAUGGACGAGAGUCUGAACCAGCCAAGUAGCGUGAAGGAUGACUGCCCUAUGGGUUGUAAACUUCUUUUAUAAAGGAAUAAAACGAGGCACGUGUGCCUUUUUGCAUGUACUUUAUGAAUAAGGAUCGGCUAACUCCGUGCCAGCAGCCGCGGUAAUACGGAGGAUCCGAGCGUUAUCCGGAUUUAUUGGGUUUAAAGGGAGCGGAGAUGGGUUGUUAAGUCAGUUGUGAAAGUUUGCGGCUCAACCGUAAAAUUGCAGUUGAUACUGGCAGUCUUGAGUACAGGUGAGGUAGGCGGAAUUCGUGGUGUAGAGGUGAAAUGCUUAGAUAUCACGAAGAACCCCGAUUGCGAAGGCAGCUUACUAAACUGUGACUGACGUUGAUGCUCGAAAGUGUGGGUAUCGAACAGGAUUAGAUACCCGAGUAGUC
RNAcentral lists this ribosomal RNA (460 nucleotides) under uncultured bacterium. Its description in RNAcentral is "partial 16S ribosomal RNA". It matches the Rfam family "Bacterial small subunit ribosomal RNA", at positions 338 to 795 of the family's 1533-position model. The record is from RNAcentral.